CCUACGGGAGGCUGCAGUGGGGAAUAUUGGACAAUGGGCGAAAGCCUGAUCCAGCCAUGCCGCGUGUGUGAAGAAGGCCUUCGGGUUGUAAAGCACUUUCAGUGGGGAAGAAAGCCUUGGGGCUAAUACCCUCGAGGAAGGACAUCACCCACAGAAGAAGCACCGGCUAACUCCGUGCCAGCAGCCGCGGUAAUACGGAGGGUGCGAGCGUUAAUCGGAAUUACUGGGCGUAAAGCGCGCGUAGGCGGUCUGAUAAGCCGGUUGUGAAAGCCCCGGGCUCAAUCUGGGAACGGCAUCCGGAACUGUCAGGCUAGAGUGCAGGAGAGGAAGGUAGAAUUCCCGGUGUAGCGGUGAAAUGCGUAGAGAUCGGGAGGAAUACCAGUGGCGAAGGCGGCCUUCUGGACUGACACUGACGCUGAGGUGCGAAAGCGUGGGUAGCAAACAGGAUUAGAUACCCCGGUAGUC
Molecule: ribosomal RNA, 465 nt
Filed under: Vreelandella stevensii
Lineage: Bacteria; Pseudomonadati; Pseudomonadota; Gammaproteobacteria; Oceanospirillales; Halomonadaceae
Description: partial 16S ribosomal RNA
Rfam family: Bacterial small subunit ribosomal RNA
Source: RNAcentral